This is a long non-coding RNA of Suricata suricatta (meerkat), 737 nucleotides long. RefSeq lists it as uncharacterized. The transcript has 3 exons. NCBI's taxonomy places the organism in Eukaryota, Metazoa, Chordata, Mammalia, Carnivora, Herpestidae. The record is from RefSeq and is a predicted model, not a curated record.
CCUUGGCAGCACGUUCUCUCUGAGAGAGAGGGCACGCCGAAGGGCACACUCCCAUGGCAGCCACAAAACCUGAUUUGCAAAUUAACGCAGAAUACAUGAUGACGAAAACCAACUUUAAGGAGAUCUUAAAACUUCAGCUUCCAGUUCAAACAAAGCAAACCAGCAAACAAGAGUGAGUUCAUAUCUGUUUGUAUAUAUCAGUUCCCUUCGGAAUUGCUCCACUUAUGCAGGCGAGGCUGCCGUAUUUCCAGGUGGAGCUAAGGGAUAGCAUUUGAUCCAGAAAUCCUGCAUAGCAAGAGAAGCAACGAAACAGUCAUCAGACAACUAAAGCUUCAAUUCCAGUUUGGCUGCUAACUCAUGAUCUUGGAAAACACGCUCACAGGUGCACUCAGCUCAGAAACGAUGCGUUACCAGUUAGUUACCUGGGUAUCCUUUAGACCAGACAAGCCGACACUUAAUAUUAACCAUCAGAGGCUGGAACGAGAAUGAGAAAAUAAUCAGAUGUCCUGUGAGAAACCAAAAGUUUGCUGUGGAGAUGCACAAAAAGUGACAUGGAAAAAUAAAACUCGUGUGCACUACUGCAUUCAAAACAAAACUCUCCUACCUCCUGAUUUAGUGCCUUUGAACUGACCUCACAGGACUGAGUUUUGGCUCUCCAUACUCUUCUUUUCUAAACUUUUCUAAACCACUUCCCCAGCAGGUUAAAUGUUUAAAACCAUAAACUAUACAGCAGAACA